Molecule: signal recognition particle RNA, 99 nt
Filed under: Deltaproteobacteria bacterium
Lineage: Bacteria; Pseudomonadati; Myxococcota; Myxococcia
Description: signal recognition particle sRNA small type
Rfam family: Bacterial small signal recognition particle RNA
About the family: The signal recognition particle (SRP) is a universally conserved ribonucleoprotein involved in the co-translational targeting of proteins to membranes. Archaeal SRP consists of a 7S RNA and homologues of the eukaryotic SRP19 and SRP54 proteins.
Source: RNAcentral
AGCUGGGUCCUGCGCAACGGAAACCUGCCAACCCCGUCAGGUCCGGGAGGAAGCAGCGGUAGCAGCGUCAGACGUGUGCCGCAGGGGAGCCUAGCUAUC